This 253-nucleotide ribosomal RNA is filed under the name uncultured bacterium. RNAcentral describes it as "partial 16S ribosomal RNA". It matches the Rfam family "Bacterial small subunit ribosomal RNA", at positions 524 to 776 of the family's 1533-position model. The record is from RNAcentral.
UACAGAGGGUGCGAGCGUUAAUCGGAGUUACUGGGCGUAAAGGGCGCGUAGGCGGUUAUGUGAGUGUGGUGUGAAAGCCCUGGGCUUAACCUAGGAAGUGCAUCGCAAACGACAUAACUGGAGUAUAAGAGAGGGUGGCGGAAUUUCCGGUGUAGCGGUGAAAUGCGUAGAGAUCGGAAGGAACGUCAAUGGCGAAGGCAGCCACCUGGCUUAAUACUGACGCUGAGGCGCGAAAGCGUGGGGAUCGAACAGG